This is a long non-coding RNA of Carassius carassius (crucian carp), 178 nucleotides long. RefSeq lists it as uncharacterized. Lineage: Eukaryota; Metazoa; Chordata; Actinopteri; Cypriniformes; Cyprinidae. The transcript has 3 exons. The record is from RefSeq and is a predicted model, not a curated record.
ACUAAUCAGAGUAUGCACUGAAACACUGGAGUCUGAUGAGCAUGAUCACAUGAAGGACCCAGUGGAAAGUUUGAUUGUAUUAAGUGGCUGUGGAACAUCAGACUGCAUUGCAUUUUUUUGGGACAUCCUUUAAUAAGAUGUUGAAUGCCCCAAAACAGAAGCCGAUCUGUUCGUACAU